RNAcentral lists this ribosomal RNA (611 nucleotides) under Colpotrochia fusca. RNAcentral's name for it is "eukaryotic LSU rRNA". It matches the Rfam family "Eukaryotic large subunit ribosomal RNA", at positions 417 to 780 of the family's 3401-position model. The record is from RNAcentral. Lineage: Eukaryota; Metazoa; Arthropoda; Insecta; Hymenoptera; Ichneumonidae. RNAcentral also lists the same sequence under 1 other name.
AAACCUGAGAAACCCAAAAGAUCGAAUGGGGAGAUUCAUCGCCAGCGAUACUGGCACGGGUGCGGUUCGUGAUGCCGGGGGCUUCGGUCGCUUGGCACACGUCCGUAUGGUUUUUUGCCCAGUUUGUCGUCGGCGUGCACUUCUCCCCUAGUAGGACGUCGCGACCCGUUGGGUGUCGGUCUACGGCACGGGUGGGCGCCUGUCAUGUGCUUAGCUUAACGGCGUCAUGUGGCAGACCCCCGGUUGUCUGACCAGCUGCCCGGCGGUACUCGCACGGUAUCGAGUCGCAAAUAUUCGAACUGCGUCCGGCCCGCCGCAAGCCGAGGCCAGUGCAUCCCGGAUGACGGACUUUGCGCCGUCACCGGGCCUGGCCAGCUGUUGGUUGGCGGUGUCCUUGGACUGACUCUUGAUACCGGUCGGCGACGCUACUGCUUUGGGUACUUUCAGGACCCGUCUUGAAACACGGACCAAGGAGUCUAACAUGUGCGCGAGUCAUUGGGAACUCUUAAGCCUAAAGGCGUAAUGAAAGUGAAGGUCGGCCCUGCGCCGACCGAGGGAGGAUGGGACGCGUUACGAUGCGGUCCCGCACUCCCGGGGCGUCUCGUUCUCAU